AGAUUGAACGCUGGCGGCGUGCCUAACACAUGCAAGUCGAGCGGUAACAGGUGUAGCAAUACAUGCUGACGAGCGGCGGACGGGUGAGUAACGCUUGGGAAUCUGCCUAUCAGUGGGGGACAACCCGGGGAAACUCGGGCUAAUACCGCAUACGAUCCAUGGAUGAAAGCCGGGGACCGCAAGGCCUGGCGCUGAUAGAUGAGCCCAAGUCGGAUUAGCUAGUUGGUAGGGUAACGGCCUACCAAGGCGACGAUCCGUAACUGGUCUGAGAGGACGACCAGUCACACCGGAACUGAGACACGGUCCGGACUCCUACGGGAGGCAGCAGUGGGGAAUAGUUGGACAAGUGGGGCAACCCUGAUCCAGCGACGCCGCGUGGUGAAGAGGCCUGGCGGGUUGAAGCCGUUUCGGAGGGAAGAAAGUCGUCGGCUUAAGACGCGUGGACCUUGGAACCGUAACCCAAGUAAA
RNAcentral lists this ribosomal RNA (468 nucleotides) under uncultured soil bacterium. RNAcentral's name for it is "bacterial SSU rRNA". It matches the Rfam family "Bacterial small subunit ribosomal RNA", at positions 26 to 500 of the family's 1533-position model. The record is from RNAcentral.